GGGAUGAUGUGGCACUGACCGGCUCCUCCAGGGUGACCAAGCGCCAGGCUCCUCCGUCCAGGACCCAGAGAGGGGUGACUGGCUCUCCGGGGGUGUUUCCUGAUGUGAGGACAGAGCACAGGACCCCAUCAUCAAAGACCUGGAAUAGCAGCAACUCCAGGAGCUUCCUUCCUCCAAGAAGCCCUCCCUGAUUGGAUGACCCCUGGCACGAGCCUCCAGGAAGAGGACGUGAACUCACUGGAUCAUGGAGAGGAAUGUACCUGGAGCAAAAAGAAGGAUGCUGAUGACAUCGUGUCGGCUCCCUAAGGGUGGGGAAGCGGAUGGGGGCAUCCCUUCUUCCAGGGACCAGAUCUGGCACAAGACUUCUGCUCAGGCAACCCCACUGCCUGGCAUGCCCUCUCCCUAGGGACCAUCAAACCUUCUUGAUUUCCUCAGUCUUAAUGUUUGAGAUGGACUGCCUCCUCCAGGAAGCCCAUGACCAGGGCAUGCCCUUCAGCAGAUUGGCACUGAGAUAGAAUGUGCCCUGCUGGCAAGCAUUCUCAUCAAUGUCAAAAGUCUCAGGGAUGAAUCUAUUGUUGGGAAUAGAAUAAAAAACUAUAUUUCCCAGAA
Myotis daubentonii (Daubenton's bat) is the source of this 609-nucleotide long non-coding RNA. RefSeq lists it as uncharacterized. The record is from RefSeq and is a predicted model, not a curated record. NCBI's taxonomy places the organism in Eukaryota, Metazoa, Chordata, Mammalia, Chiroptera, Vespertilionidae.